Molecule: long non-coding RNA, 2259 nt
Organism: Phascolarctos cinereus (koala)
Lineage: Eukaryota; Metazoa; Chordata; Mammalia; Diprotodontia; Phascolarctidae
Source: Ensembl
AUAUAUAGUUAUUCAUACAGAUAAGAUCCUAGAAUUUGAGCUAGGAGGGGCAUCAGAGGCCAUUCUUGUCCAACCUCCAGGGUUGUAUACGGAGUCCUUGGAGGGUAAGUGAUGUGCCAAGUUCACCCAGUGAGCAAGUGCCAAAGCAAAUACACUGAAUCACUAUGAGAUCUUUGAGAAGUCCAUAUUCAUUAGUUAUAUUUAGUAAUUGCUUAGAGGAUGGUUGACUGGCAUCGAUGCUCCCUACCAACCAAAAGUCCCCUUUGGAAAACCCUUAUGGAAGGGGUUAGGGGAGGUAUGUACCUGACUGUGUGGCUUCUAGAAAACUCAAAGCAACUAUCUCAAACUGAAAAGCUUGCCUUAAAUUUACAAACCAAGAAGAAAGUAUUUAGUAGAAAGGGAAAACAAAAGAUACAUUUGUGGUGUUAAUUAUAGUAUCAAUAACAAAUAACUAUUGAUUCUAGGAUGAAAUGGAGGUGUUAGAAAUCAGAGAUUCAAACAAGCCUUUGUGAAAAUAAGAUGCUUAAGAGGACUUGAACCCAUGUCCUUUGACUAUGGCACUAGGUUACUUUCCACUAUUCCACAUCAGGAUGUCCAUUACCCUGAAGUUUCCAUAUUAUGACCUCUUCUUCAGAUCUAUUACUUACGCAUUUGCAUGGUUUCCAGUUCUCACAGUAGUUGAGUUAUUUUCUGAAUAUUUUCUGUUGUCUAUAAUUUUGUUUUUAGCUCUAAUAAAUCUAGUUUUGGUUACUUCUAUUGAUCCUUUCAAAUUUUCUCUAUGUUCUCCAUAUUGGAUGUCUUAUCUGCGCCUCAAUUUCAAUGAGUUGAAACUUGCUAUUUACCAUCCCAAACCUCUUUUUCCUUUAUGCUUCCCUUUCUAUUUACAAACAUCCUCUCCUGUACAAUAAGUUCUGCCAUAACACUUGUUUCAAAAAAGUGCAUUUGUUAAGGAAAAAAGUGAAUUUGAUAUGUUAGGGAACAUUUUGAACAUAACUUGAAUUUUGAGUUUGUUUAUGCGUGAUUUCUUCUCUGAAAAACUAUGAGAGAACAUAGAAGACUGUACUACUUCACAACAACAUAAGCUGCAGCCCUUCCAAUGCCUAUUUCCAUAAACAAACUUCAGAUGUUUUUCGCAGUAAAAUACUAUAUGUAUUGCAUAUCUUUUGGUGCAGUGGGACCUGUGGGCUGAUGAGGAUUAAUCUAGCCCUCCCCGCCUUCCACCACCUUCAACCAUGUUUCAGCUCCUUGAAGUUCUAUCCUCCAGGCCAGCUAGUAGGAACCAGGGUGCAAGUUAAACGUCAUGUAUUUCUUAACCAUUUAACAUUAUAAAACUGUGCUGCUGUCUUUAAUAGGUUCCUUUUUUUUAAUGUCACUAAUGCAAUUUUUGAGCAUUGUUCCCCUAAACCAAUUUUUCCUAUGAGCCUUGUGAUUUUUAUAGUUUGAUUUUUUCUUAGUGAUAUGCUUUUUGGGAAUGUAUAAGUUGUUAUAGCAGAGCUGACUGUAUGUGUUAUGUAACAGUCACUCUAGAACAAGAAAGUAUCUUAUUUUGUGCUACUUGAAGAAUCAUUCACACUUGCAAAUUUACAAAAAAAAAAAGGAAAGUUAAAGCUGGAGGUAGGAAAGUGGAGCAGAGUUUUAGCUCAUUUUCUCUUUUCAACUUCAAUUAAUAUUCACUUUUAUUCACACGUCCUUACCUCAAAUAUAGCAAGCAACACCCACUCAAGCAGCAUGGGUAAGAAAGGAAUAGGCAGAAAGUUACACACCUGAAGCCUCCCUUUCUUUUGUUUUAAUAGAGAUUGUAAAACUUCCUUCUAUCUUUUCCAGCCUCUAGGCAUUUGAAGAUCUAAGCCCUAGAUUGUAGGGUCAUCUCUGUUCCACCGAGGGGCAUAAAAAGAAGGACUUUUGUAGAGGGGUUGGUCAUUCAAAAGAACUAAAUCAGGCUUUUCUUCAGACUGCUUUAUCUAAUUUGUGAUUCAAGGCCUCUACCCUCUUCAAAAAAUGUUAGGCCUUCUGUUUGUUGAUGCCUCUUGAAUCCUUUAAGAAGGCUGAUAGGUUGAUUGGCUAAUAUGACAGAAAAAGGAAAUGACAAAUAUUGGAGGGAAUAUGGGAAAAUUGAGAUACUAAUGUACUGUUGCAUCAAACUUUGAUACCCUUUGACGCCCAAAGGGUAAUCAAACUGUGCAUAACCUUUGAUCCAGCAUACCACUAGGAGGUCUGUAUCCCAAAGAGAUUAAAAAAUAAAAAAGGGAAAAGGAUUCA